RNAcentral lists this ribosomal RNA (460 nucleotides) under uncultured bacterium. Its description in RNAcentral is "partial 16S ribosomal RNA". It matches the Rfam family "Bacterial small subunit ribosomal RNA", at positions 338 to 795 of the family's 1533-position model. The record is from RNAcentral.
CCUACGGGUGGCAGCAGUGAGGAAUAUUGGUCAAUGGACGAGAGUCUGAACCAGCCAAGUAGCGUGAAGGAUGACUGCCCUAUGGGUUGUAAACUGCUUUUGUACGAGGGUAAAUCCCGAUACGUGUAUCGGUUUGAAAGUAUCGUACGAAUAAGGAUCGGCUAACUCCGUGCCAGCAGCCGCGGUAAUACGGAGGAUUCAAGCGUUAUCCGGAUUUAUUGGGUUUAAAGGGUGCGUAGGCGGUUCGAUAAGUUAGAGGUGAAAUCCCGGGGCUCAACUCCGGCACUGCCUCUGAUACUGUCGGGCUAGAGUUUAGUUGCGGUAGGCGGAAUGUAUGGUGUAGCGGUGAAAUGCAUAGAGAUCAUACAGAACACCGAUUGCGAAGGCAGCUUACCAAACUACGACUGACGUUGAGGCACGAAAGCGUGGGGAGCAAACAGGAUUAGAUACCCUUGUAGUC